AGGAGGUGAGCGGUGUCGAGUGAGGGAGUGAGGGAAGCUUCGUCUGUAUUUACAGCCACUCCCCUUUGCUCACAUUCCCGCCUGAGCUCCACCUUCUCAGAUGAGCAGCAGCAUUAGAUGCUCAUAGGAGAACGCACCCUGUUGUGAACUGUGCAUGUGAGGGAUCUGGGUUGCGCUGUCCUUAUGAGAGUCUAAUACCUAUUGAUCUGUCACUUUCUCCCAUCACGCUCAGGUGGGAACAUCCAGUUGCAGGAAAACAAGCUUAACACGCCCACUGAUUCUACAUUAUGCUCCUACCUCCCGGCAGCCUCUCCAGGCCCAGAACUUUCUCCAGUCAGCCUCUACAGACCAAGCUCAUGACUCACAAUGGCCUAUUUAGGCCCAUACCCUACGUCACGGCAGCCUCCGCAGAUGAGGCUACUGCCUCACAACAGCCUCCACAGGCACAGCUCCAUCGUUACAAUGGCCUCUUUAGACCCAGCUCCUGCCUCCCAGCCUUCUCUCCAGGCCCUGAACUUUCUCAAGUCGACCUCACCAGGCCCAGCUCAUGCUUCUUUGCAGCCUCUCCAGGCCCAGCUCCUGCAUCUUGGUGGCCCCUCCAGGCCCAGCCUCUGCCUCCCGUCAGCCUCUACAGUCCCAACGUCUGCCUCACAGCAGAUUCUUCACGCCCAGCAUCUACCUCACUGUGGACCCCCCAAGCCAAGCUCCCAACCUUUCAGCAGCUUCUACACACCCA
Molecule: long non-coding RNA, 736 nt
Filed under: Homo sapiens (human)
Lineage: Eukaryota; Metazoa; Chordata; Mammalia; Primates; Hominidae
Description: non-protein coding LINC01002:27
Source: RNAcentral